GCUGUAUUGGAGCUACGGAAAGGCCGGAUCGAGCAGGGGAAAGCUUUUCUGCAGACGGCUGCUUCAUUGUCUCCUCACAUGUAUGAACCACAUUUUAACUUCGCCACACUCUCUGAUAAGGUUGGAGAUCUUCAGAGUAGUUACACGGCUGCUCAGAAAUCAGAGGAUGCGUUUCCUGAGCAUGUGGACACUCAGCAGAUCCUGAAAAACCUCAGACAGCAUUUUGCCACUCUAUAAGAUGAUUAACUCUAAUAUCA
Molecule: long non-coding RNA, 257 nt
Organism: Megalobrama amblycephala (Wuchang bream)
Lineage: Eukaryota; Metazoa; Chordata; Actinopteri; Cypriniformes; Xenocyprididae
Exons: 3
Source: RefSeq, a predicted model, not a curated record